GGGUACAUGCAUAAUAGAGCCCUGCAAGAGGAAUUAGAAGUGAAGCAGCUUGUUGAUGGCUCCAUGGGCUUCUGCCUCCUUUCUCUUGAAGCACAGAAUGGAGGAAGAUGCUCAGCUGAGGCACUGCCAACAGGCCUGGCCUGAAGAAGCACACCAUGCCGAAGGUCAGAUUUAUUGCUCUGAUAAGUUUUUGCCUAUGCCGUAACCCAAGCAGUAGUUUGAACCAACUCCCAUGUGGAAGAAAAUGUUCUGCAAAUCCAUGAGCAUUCUGUUGGCUGAAGAAUACAGCUCUUGGGAGGAAUGGUUCAAUCCAGAGAAGACCCAAGCCAUUCUGUGCUUAUGUAGAUAUACUACAUUCCAGGCUGGUUUUGGUGUUUGACAGAUGGAAUGCCCUUUUAUGGUGAAACUGCACUGCAAUUCUGUUACACGUGAACCCGACUAGACUAUGUACAGAGAUGAUAAAACUCACUCCAAGCG
Molecule: long non-coding RNA, 477 nt
Organism: Gopherus flavomarginatus (Mexican gopher tortoise)
Lineage: Eukaryota; Metazoa; Chordata; Testudines; Testudinidae
Exons: 4
Source: RefSeq, a predicted model, not a curated record